ACACCAAAUAUGGGAAUCCUUCUGGAAUGAUGUUUCCCUUAAAAGCAAUGCCUAAGGAUGAGUUGGCGGCUGAUUAGGUUGUUGGUGGGGUAAUGGCCCACCAAGCCGAAGAUCAGUAGGGGUCUUGAGAGAGAUAGCCUCGAGAAGGGCACUGAGAUACUGGCCCUAGCCCUAAGGGGUGCAGCAGGCGCGAAACCUUUACAAUGCACGAAAGUGUGAUAAGGGAAUCCUAAGUGCCUUGCUUUUUGCAAGGCUUUUUUUAAGAGUAAAUAUCUUGGAGAAUAAGUGGUGGGAAAGACUGGUGCCAGCAGCCGCGGUAAUACCAGCGCCACAAGUGGUGAUCAUAUUUAUUGGGCCUAAAGCGUUCGUAGCCGGUUUGAUAAAUCUUCUGUGAAAUUGUCAGGCUUAACUUGACAGCGUGCAGAAGACACUAUUAAACUUGGAACCGGGAGGAGUCAGAGGUAUUCUUUGGGGAGCGGUAAAAUGCUAUAAUCCUAAGAGGACUAACUGUGGCGAAGGCGUCUGACCAGAACGGAUUCGACGGUGAUUGGACGAAAGUCAGGGGAGCAAUCCGGAUUAGAUACCCGAGUAGUCCUGACUGUAAACUCUGCGAGCUA
Molecule: ribosomal RNA, 617 nt
Filed under: uncultured archaeon
Lineage: Archaea
Description: bacterial SSU rRNA
Rfam family: Archaeal small subunit ribosomal RNA
Source: RNAcentral